CCUACGGGGGGCUGCAGUGGGGAAUAUUGGGCAAUGGGCGCAAGCCUGACCCAGCAACGCCGCGUGAAGGAAGAAGGCUUUCGGGUUGUAAACUUCUUUUCUGAGGGACGAAGAUAGUGAAGGUACCUCAGGAAUAAGCCACGGCUAACUACGUGCCAGCCGCCGCCGUAAUACGUAGGUGGCAAGCGUGAUACGGAGUUAUUGGGUGUAAAGGGCGGGUAGGCGGGGAAGCAAGUCAGAUUUGAAAACUCCGGGCUCAACCCUGAGACUGCAUUUGAAACUGUUGUUCUUGAGUGCUGGAGAGGCGAGUGGAAUUCCGGGUGUAGCGGUGAAAUGCGUAGAUAUACGGAGGAACACCAGUGGCGAAGGCGGCUUGCUGGACAGUAACUGACGCUGAGGCGCGAAAGCGUGGGGAGCAAACAGGAUUAGAUACCCUAGUAGUC
This 443-nucleotide ribosomal RNA is filed under the name uncultured bacterium. Its description in RNAcentral is "partial 16S ribosomal RNA". It matches the Rfam family "Bacterial small subunit ribosomal RNA", at positions 338 to 795 of the family's 1533-position model. The record is from RNAcentral.